CAGUAGCCACGGUAAUACGUAGGGUGCAAGCGUUAUCCGGAAUUAUUGGGCGUAAAGAGCUCGUAGGCGGUUUGUCGCGUCUGCUGUGAAAACCGGAGGCUCAACCUCCGGCCUGCAGUGGGUACGGGCAAACUAGAGUGCGGUAGGGGAGAUUGGAAUUCCUGGUGUAGCGGUGGAAUGCGCAGAUAUCAGGAGGAACACCGAUGGCGAAGGCAGAUCUCUGGGCCGUAACUGACGCUGAGGAGCGAAAGCAUGGGGAGCGAACAGGAUUAGAUACCCCUGUAGUCCCUGUCUCUUAUAC
RNAcentral lists this ribosomal RNA (301 nucleotides) under uncultured bacterium. Its description in RNAcentral is "partial 16S ribosomal RNA". It matches the Rfam family "Bacterial small subunit ribosomal RNA", at positions 509 to 807 of the family's 1533-position model. The record is from RNAcentral.